Molecule: ribosomal RNA, 305 nt
Filed under: uncultured eukaryote
Lineage: Eukaryota
Description: partial 18S ribosomal RNA
Rfam family: Eukaryotic small subunit ribosomal RNA
Source: RNAcentral
CCCUUAGAUGUUCUGGGCAGCACGCGCGCUACAAUGGUCUUCGCAAACGGAUGCAUUCUCGAAGGAGAAUGCCAAUCUUGGAAUCUAUGCCUUGGUCGGGACAGUUGCUUGCAAUUUUUCGACUCGAACCAGGAAUUCCUUGUAAUCGUGAUUCAUCACAUCACGAUGAAUACGUCCCUGCCCUUUGUACACACCGCCCGUCGCUCCUACCGAUUUCGAGUGGUCCGGUGAACCAUCUGGAUUGGAUCGCAAGAUUCGAGAAGUUUAGUAAACCUUAUCACUUAGAGGAAGGAGAAGUCGUAACA